GACGAACGCUGGCGGCGUGCUUAACACAUGCAAGUCGAACGAAAAAUCAUUGAAAGCUUGCUGAUAUGAUUUUUAGUGGCGGACGGGUGAGUAACGCGUGAGGACUUGUCUUAUACAGGGGGACAACAGUUGGAAACGGCUGCUAAUACCCCAUAAGCCUUCGGGUAAAAGGAGUAAUCCGGUAUUAGAGAGACUCGCGUCCUAUCAGCUAGUAGGUGAGGUAACGGCUCACCUAGGCGAAGACGGGUAGCCGGCCUGAGAGGGCGAACGGCCACACUGGAACUGAGACACGGUCCAGACUCCUACGGGAGGCAGCAGUGGGGAAUAUUGGGCAAUGGGGGCAACCCUGACCCAGCGACGCCGCGUGAGUGAAGAAAUCCCUCGGGAUGUAAAGCUCUGUUGUGUGGGAAGAUAAUGACGGUACCACACGAGGAAGCCCCGGCAAACUACGUGCCAGCCGCCGCCGUAA
This 469-nucleotide ribosomal RNA is filed under the name uncultured bacterium. RNAcentral describes it as "partial 16S ribosomal RNA". It matches the Rfam family "Bacterial small subunit ribosomal RNA", at positions 28 to 523 of the family's 1533-position model. The record is from RNAcentral.